This 496-nucleotide ribosomal RNA is filed under the name uncultured bacterium. RNAcentral's name for it is "partial 16S ribosomal RNA". It matches the Rfam family "Bacterial small subunit ribosomal RNA", at positions 28 to 507 of the family's 1533-position model. The record is from RNAcentral.
GAUGAACGCUGGCGGCGUGCCUAAUACAUGCAAGUCGAGCGAACAGACGAGGAGCUUGCUCCUCUGACGUUAGCGGCGGACGGGUGAGUAACACGUGGAUAACCUACCUAUAAGACUGGGAUAACUUCGGAAACCGGAGCUAAUACCGGAUAAUUAAUUUAACCCCAUUGUUCAAUUGUGAAAAACGGUUUUUCUUUUCCUUAUUGAUUGGUCCGCGCCGCAUUAGCUAGUUGGUAAGGUAACGGCUUACCAAGGCAACGAUGCGUAGCCGACCUGAGAGGGUGAUCGGCCACACUGGAACUGAGACACGGUCCAGACUCCUACGGGAGGCAGCAGUAGGGAAUCUUCCGCAAUGGGCGAAAGCCUGACGGAGCAACGCCGCGUGAGUGAUGAAGGUCUUCGGAUCGUAAAACUCUGUUAUUAGGGAAGAACAAAUGUGUAAGUAACUAUGCACGUCUUGACGGUACCUAAUCAGAAAGCCACGGCUAACUACGUG